GAUGAACGCUGGCGGCAGGCCUAAUACAUGCAAGUCGGACGGGAUUCAGGAGCUUGCUUCUGAUGAGAGUGGCGCACGGGUGCGUAACACGUAUGUAACCUACCUUUAUCAGGGGGAUAGCCUCUCGAAAGAGAGAUUAAGCCCGCAUAAAAUCACAGCACAGCAUUGUGUAAUGAUCAAAUAUUUAUAGGAUGAAGAUGGGGAUGCGGAACAUUAGCUAGAUGGCGGGGUAACGGCCCACCAUGGCGACGAUGUUUAGGGGAUCUGAGAUGAUGGCCCCCUACACUGGUACUGAGACACGGACCCGUCUCGUACGGGAGGCAGCAGUAUGGAAUAUUGGUCAAUGGGCGGAAGCCUGAACCAGCCAUGCCGCGUGCAGAAAGACGGCGCUACGGGUUCUAUACUGCUUUUAUACGGGAAUAAUCCCAGAUACGUGUAUCUGGCUGAAUGUACUGUAAGAAUAAGGAUCGGCUAACUCCGUG
RNAcentral lists this ribosomal RNA (482 nucleotides) under uncultured bacterium. Its description in RNAcentral is "partial 16S ribosomal RNA". It matches the Rfam family "Bacterial small subunit ribosomal RNA", at positions 28 to 507 of the family's 1533-position model. The record is from RNAcentral.